This 482-nucleotide ribosomal RNA is filed under the name uncultured bacterium. RNAcentral's name for it is "partial 16S ribosomal RNA". It matches the Rfam family "Bacterial small subunit ribosomal RNA", at positions 28 to 506 of the family's 1533-position model. The record is from RNAcentral.
GACGAACGCUGGCGGCGUGCUUAACACAUGCAAGUCGAACGCUGAAGCUCAGCUUUUGUUGGGUGGAUGAGUGGCGAACGGGUGAGUAACACGUGAGUAACCUGCCUCCUUCUUUGGGAUAACGCCCGGAAACGGGUGCUAAUACUGGAUAUUCACUGGUCUUCGCAUGGGGGUUGGUGGAAAGGGUUUUUCUGGUGGGGGAUGGGCUCGCGGCCUAUCAGCUUGUUGGUGGGGUGAUGGCCUACCAAGGCUUUGACGGGUAGCCGGCCUGAGAGGGUGACCGGUCACAUUGGGACUGAGAUACGGCCCAGACUCCUACGGGAGGCAGCAGUGGGGAAUAUUGCACAAUGGGCGCAAGCCUGAUGCAGCGACGCCGCGUGAGGGAUGGAGGCCUUCGGGUUGUGAACCUCUUUCGCUCAUGGUCAAGCCGCAACAAUGGUUGUGGUGAGGGUAGUGGGUAAAGAAACGCCGGCUAACUACGU